AUCUCUCCCUCUCUCUCUCUGUCUCUCUGUUCCUCCCACUUGCGCACACGCACACACUCUCUCUCAACAUAAAUUAAUAAACUUUGCAGUUUCCCCUUCGGCAUCCUAUUUAAUGCCUCUGUGACUGAGAGAGUGGAAUGUUGGUGGGUAGAUAGGAAGACCUUGGGGAUGUGACAGCAGGAUGAAUUGGGAACCCUCUGACCCUGCAACAGGAAGUGUGUGCCCAAGGGAGUACUCAUUCAUGAAAAGGAGGAAGCUGUGGGGCAGCUGGGGGCAGGGAAACUGGACAUUAGAGGCCUCUGUCUUCUCACCAGGACCUCUCAAGGCUGCAAGGGGCUGAUGCACUCAUGCCUUGCACUGCAGCAGCAAUCUGGAUUUGUCCUAUUCAAUUGUUCAGCUACCUGAUGCCAUAGGUAACGUCCUGACGAAUCUCACACAGAAGCAAAUAGAACUCGUCAACUCUCCAAAAGGCCGUAUUCCUUCCGCUACCCUGCUCGACCCCGGUAGAUGUGCCCACUAAAUAGUAUCAACUACCUGCGUAGCUUGCUGCAAGAGUAGAAGCCACCAUUCUGCAAAGACCAAAUGAGAGCUGGAUCUGGCACAGGCAGGUGUGAUUACUCUGGUGGAAGGAAGGAAGGAAGGAAGGAAGGAAGGAAGGAAGGCAGGCCAAAGAUGAGUUCCAUGCAGAAGACCAUGUCCCCUCUCACAACAAGGGAAGAAAACCAGGACCUGUGCCAUCCAGUUGCCUGAGCCCAAUGCCUCCGGAGCCCUGGGAAGACGCCUCGAGGAGGGCAUGGCAGGCCGGUCUCUGGGCAGCUGUGACUCCAGGCCUUACCUCUUACUGUCCUUCCCGUAGGGCUUCCUCCAUCUUGGGUGCCUCCUGACGCCUUCCCCGGAAGUCUUCAUCUGAAAAGCAGAGGGAAGUUGUCUCAUCCUCCACCGUGCAGGGUGUCGCGCAGGCACAUCCUCCAGGCUGGGCAAGGGAACUGACCCAACUCUCUCCAUCCCCCUUGUUUGCUGGGACACAAGCUGACUCUGGGGUGGGGUGGGGGUGGGGGGAUAUGUGGGUCUGGUGAGGACACCAGGGCACAGUGUGGAGUUAGAAUACCUAGCUGCUGGCCUGGCUGCAUCACUGAGCUCUGAGACCCUGGACAAGUUCUUCCCUCAGCUUCCUCAUCUGUAAAAUGGGUGCGGAAGUUGCACCCUCCAUAUGGCCU
Long non-coding RNA from Leopardus geoffroyi (Geoffroy's cat), 1217 nucleotides. RefSeq lists it as uncharacterized. The transcript has 2 exons. The record is from RefSeq and is a predicted model, not a curated record. Lineage: Eukaryota; Metazoa; Chordata; Mammalia; Carnivora; Felidae.